GCCAUUUCCUCCCCUGGAGGCGGAAAGUUUGCUCCCGGGAGCCGCGAAGGCGCGGCGCGCAGGUGCCCAGAGACCCCACCCUACCCAUGGUGAGGCAGUGGAAUCUCCGCGGGUCCCCUACGUUGUAGGUGGUGGCGGCGCAGACAGGUGAGGGUUGAGAAAUCAGGGAGAAAUCCUACCCUGCUUAUCCUGGAGCCUGAAGAGAAUGACUUAACCUGAGCCUCCUUCAGCAGUUGGUGGUUGGAAAGCGUGUAUGGAGUGCCUCCUCUCUGCUGGGCUCUGGGCGUAAGGGGAAUUCCGUUGCACAAGGCAGGUUUCCUCACUCACCCUCUGGAUCGUCUUUCUAUUUACCCAACGAAUAUUGAUGGAGUGCCUGCAGUAUAUACCGGGCUCUGCGCUGGGAAAACCCGAAGAACCGGACAGCUUAGGUGCCACUCAUCAUGGAGCGUCCGCGGGACUUUCUGUUCGUGCGUAACUGCUUUGCAGAACGCUGGUGGUACGAACACACACUUUGGUCUCUACCCUCAAGCAGAGGGCGGGUAAUGGAGGGCUUAGAAGACAGUAUAAUGACAAUGAGACAGUAUAUUGAAAACGAUGCAUUCCAUCUCCAUCCAAGCCUCAAUCCUCCCACUGUGCUCUUGAGCUUGGGCUUGAGGUGAGGCGGUCCUAGAUGUGCAUCCUGUUCCUUUGACAAUGGAAAUUAUGAUGGCACUCUUCUUACGGGGUUGAGUUGUCAUGACAACCCUUGGCACAAUGCCUGGCACAGGGUUAGCACUCAGUAUAUACAAGCUAUAAUGAUGCUGAUGAUGUUCCGCUGGCCUGAUGGAAUGUUGUGGACAAGGGGAGAUGUGCUGUAGGCUACACAGUUUGAGAGAUUUUCUAUGGGCUUAAAUUAAUUUGUGUAUAUUUAUAUUCUUCUGUUGCGUCAGGUUGUGAAUAUCAGAUGCUUGGUCUUUAUUCUUCUCUACUAACUUCCUAACUUCCUGGACCAAUGUACUGCCGUUGUUAAGGGAAAAUGAAAAAGUAUUGGCAGAAGACAGCAAGAACCCACAGGAGCCCGGUGUCCUUUCAGGCAGCCUUAGAAGCAUUUUUGUCCACCCAUGUGCCAUUAAAGCGAAAGGGAAUAUUUUCACAGUGACACACAAUGCUUGCUGUAAUUUAACCUCGUGAGCAAAACUUCCAAUUAAGUAUGACAGUAGGAAAUAGGUGUCCUGAUUAGCCAUGUACCUCCCUGGAACGAGGUAUUGUAUAAACAGUUGCAGGACAUGUUGUUAAAAAAAUUUUUUUUACAUUUAUUUAUUUUUGAGAGACAGAGAGAGACAGUGUGAACAGGGGAGGGGCAGAGAGAGAGGGAGACACAGAAUCUGAAGCAGGUUCCAGGCUCUGAGCUGUCAGCACAGAGCCCAUGCGGGGCUUGAACCCAUGAACC
This is a long non-coding RNA of Acinonyx jubatus (cheetah), 1429 nucleotides long. RefSeq lists it as uncharacterized. NCBI's taxonomy places the organism in Eukaryota, Metazoa, Chordata, Mammalia, Carnivora, Felidae. The transcript is spliced from 3 exons. The record is from RefSeq and is a predicted model, not a curated record.